GACGAACGCUGGCGGCGUGCUUAACACAUGCAAGUCGAACGGAAAUGCCCUGCUUUUGUGGGGUGCUCGAGUGGCGAACGGGUGAGUAACACGUGAGUAACCUGCCCUUGACUUUGGGAUAACUUCAGGAAACUGGGGCUAAUACCGGAUAGGAGCUCCUGCUGCAUGGUGGGGGUUGGAAAGUUUCGGCGGUUGGGGAUGGACUCGCGGCUUAUCAGCUUGUUGGUGGGGUAGUGGCUUACCAAGGCUUUGACGGGUAGCCGGCCCGGGAGGGUGACCGGCCACAUUGGGACUGAGAUACGGCCCAGACUCCUACGGGAGGCAGCAGUGGGGAAUAUUGCACAAUGGGCGGAAGCCUGAUGCAGCAACGCCGCGUGUGGGAUGACGGCCUUCGGGUUGUAAACCGCUUUCGCCUGUGACGAAGCGUGAGUGACGGUAAUGGGUAAAGAAGCACCGGCUAACUACGUG
RNAcentral lists this ribosomal RNA (468 nucleotides) under uncultured bacterium. RNAcentral's name for it is "partial 16S ribosomal RNA". It matches the Rfam family "Bacterial small subunit ribosomal RNA", at positions 28 to 507 of the family's 1533-position model. The record is from RNAcentral.